GGGGCCGUCGUCUAGCUUGGCAGGAUGCCGGCCUGGGGCGCCGGUGGUCCCGGGUUCAAAUCCCGGCGGCCCCACCA
RNAcentral lists this transfer RNA (77 nucleotides) under Thermoproteota archaeon. RNAcentral describes it as "Crenarchaeota archaeon (hydrothermal vent metagenome) tRNA-Pro". It matches the Rfam family "tRNA". Rfam says of the family: Transfer RNA (tRNA) molecules are approximately 80 nucleotides in length. Their secondary structure includes four short double-helical elements and three loops (D, anti-codon, and T loops). The record is from RNAcentral. Lineage: Archaea; Thermoproteati; Thermoproteota.